This 73-nucleotide transfer RNA is filed under the name Phytophthora infestans T30-4. It matches the Rfam family "tRNA". Rfam says of the family: Transfer RNA (tRNA) molecules are approximately 80 nucleotides in length. Lineage: Eukaryota; Oomycota; Peronosporomycetes; Peronosporales; Peronosporaceae. The record is from Rfam by way of RNAcentral.
ACCCGUCUAGCUAAGUCGGUAGAGCGCUGGCCUUGUAAGCCAGUGGUCGUGGGUUCGAGCCCCACGGGGGGUG